GGGGGGGGGGGGGGGGGGGCGGGGGGCGGGCGGGGCGGGGGGGGGGGGGGGGCGUGGGUGGGGGGCUGGGGGGGCGAGGGGGUGAGUGACACGUGAGUAACCUGCCCUUGCCUGUGGGAUAACUUCAGGAAGCUGGGGCGAAUACCGGAUAGGAGCUCCUGCUGCAUGGGGGGGGUUGGAACGUUUCGGCGGGUGGGGAUGGACUCGCGGCUUAUCAGCUUGUUGGUGGGGUAGUGGCUUACCAAGGCUUUGACGGGUAGCCGGCCUGAGAGGGUGACCGGCCACAUGGGGACUGAGAUACGGCCCAGACUCCUACGGGAGGCAGCAGUGGGGAAUAUUGCACAAUGGGCGGAAGCCUGAUGCAGCAACGCCGCGUGCGGGAUGACGGCCUUCGGGUUGUAAACCGCUUUCGCCUGUGACGAAGCGUGAGUGACGGUAAUGGGUAAAGAAGCACCGGCUAACUACGUG
RNAcentral lists this ribosomal RNA (468 nucleotides) under uncultured bacterium. Its description in RNAcentral is "partial 16S ribosomal RNA". The stretch from base 49 to 468 matches the Rfam family "Bacterial small subunit ribosomal RNA", at positions 39 to 507 of the family's 1533-position model. The record is from RNAcentral.